CCUACGGGUGGCAGCAGUGGGGAAUAUUGGACAAUGGAGGGAACCCUGAUCCAGCGAAGCAGCGUGAGUGAAGAAGUAUUUAGGUAUGUAAAGCUCUAUCAGCAGGGAAGAAAAUGACGGUACCUGACUAAGAAGCUACGGCUAACUACGUGCCAGCAGCCGCGGUAAUACGUAGGGAGCAAGCGUUAUCCGGAGUUACUGGGUGUAAAGGGAGCGUAGACGGUGCAGCAAGUCUGAUGUGAAAGGUCGGGGCCCAACCCCGGGAUUGCAUUGGAAACUGUUGAACUUGAGUACAGAAGAGGUAAGCGGAAUUCCUAGUGUAGCGGUGAAAUGCUUAGAUAUUAGGAGGAACACCAGUGGCGAAGGCGGCUUACUGGACUGUAACUGACGCUGAGGCUCGAAAGCGUGGGGAGCAAACAGGAUUAGAUACCCUAGUAGUC
RNAcentral lists this ribosomal RNA (440 nucleotides) under uncultured bacterium. Its description in RNAcentral is "partial 16S ribosomal RNA". It matches the Rfam family "Bacterial small subunit ribosomal RNA", at positions 338 to 795 of the family's 1533-position model. The record is from RNAcentral.